Molecule: transfer RNA, 72 nt
Filed under: candidate division MSBL1 archaeon SCGC-AAA261D19
Lineage: Archaea; Methanobacteriati; Methanobacteriota
Description: tRNA-Cys
Rfam family: tRNA
About the family: Transfer RNA (tRNA) molecules are approximately 80 nucleotides in length. Their secondary structure includes four short double-helical elements and three loops (D, anti-codon, and T loops). Further hydrogen bonds mediate the characteristic L-shaped molecular structure. tRNAs have two regions of fundamental functional importance: the anti-codon, which is responsible for specific mRNA codon recognition, and the 3' end, to which the tRNAs corresponding amino acid is attached (by aminoacyl-tRNA synthetases). tRNAs cope with the degeneracy of the genetic code in two manners: having more than one tRNA (with a specific anti-codon) for a particular amino acid; and 'wobble' base-pairing, i.e. permitting non-standard base-pairing at the 3rd anti-codon position.
Source: RNAcentral
GCCGGGGAGACCGAGUGGCUAGGCGGCGGACUGCAGAGCAGCUAACGCUGGUUCAAAUCCGGCCCCCCGGCU